This 254-nucleotide long non-coding RNA is filed under the name Phascolarctos cinereus (koala). RNAcentral describes it as "lncRNA (ENSPCIG00000012540.2)". The record is from RNAcentral. Lineage: Eukaryota; Metazoa; Chordata; Mammalia; Diprotodontia; Phascolarctidae.
CAGUCCAGUGCUUAUUCCACUCCACCAAAACACCUUAUUUUCUCCAUCUCUUUUAACAGGUGUACUGAAGCCCUACACUUACCUUCUGUAGCCCUGAGGCUGUUCACUGGAAGAGGGAUGGAAAUCUUCCACUUAAAAGACCUGGAGAAAGAUGAACUGGCAUAUGUGUCCUGUGAAGAAUAGCGGAACAACCCUAAAGUGAUCAUCACUGAACAGAAAAAAAGCAACUCCUCCUCAAUCAUUUAUCCUCAGAA